Accipiter nisus (Eurasian sparrowhawk) is the source of this 86-nucleotide small nucleolar RNA. The record is from Ensembl. Lineage: Eukaryota; Metazoa; Chordata; Aves; Accipitriformes; Accipitridae.
AGGCUGUGUGUGAUGACAGCAUAGUUCAGCAGAUGACCCAUGGUGAUCACGCUGUUACUGUCUUUCGCUCCUAUCUGAUGCAGCCU